GAGUUGCGUAGGUGGCAAAGUAAGCGAAGUGUGAAAUCUUAUGGCUCAACCAUAAGUCUAUACUUUGAACUGCUUAGCUAGAGCAUGAGAGAGGUAACUGGAAUUUCUAGUGUAGGAGUGAAAUCCGUAGAUAUUAGAAGGAACACCGAUGGCGUAGGCAGGUUACUGGCUCAUUGCUGACACUAAGGCACGAAAGCGUGGGGAGCGAACGGGAUUAGAUACCCCGGUAGUCCACGCCGUAAACUAUGGAUGCUAGCUGUUAUCGGUAUCGACCCCGGUAGUAGCGAAGCUAACGCGUUAAGCAUCCCGCCUGUGGAGUACGAGCGCAAGCUUAAAACAUAAAGGAAUUGACGGGGACCCGCACAAGCGGUGGAGUGUGUUGUUUAAUUCGACGAUAAGCGAAGAACCUUACCAAGGCUUGACAUCCUGGGAAGGUCUCCGAAAGGAGACUGUGCCUUCGGGAAUCCAGUGACAGGUGUUGCAUGGCCGUCGUCAGCUCGUGUCGUGAGAUGUUUGGUUAAGUCCAUUAACGAGCGCAACCCUUAUAGUUAGUUGAAUUUCUCUAGCUAGACUGCCCCGGCAACGGGGAGGAAGGAGGGGAUGAUGUCAGGUCAGUAUUACCCUUACGCCUUGGGCUACAAACACACUACAAUGGCCGGUACAAAGGGCAGCUAAGCCGUAAGGCGGAGCAAAUCCCAUCAAAGCCGGUCUCAGUUCGGAUAGCAGGCUGAAACCCGCCUGCUGAAGCUGGAAUCG
Molecule: ribosomal RNA, 756 nt
Filed under: uncultured bacterium
Lineage: Bacteria
Description: bacterial SSU rRNA
Rfam family: Bacterial small subunit ribosomal RNA
Source: RNAcentral